This 253-nucleotide ribosomal RNA is filed under the name uncultured bacterium. RNAcentral's name for it is "partial 16S ribosomal RNA". It matches the Rfam family "Bacterial small subunit ribosomal RNA", at positions 524 to 776 of the family's 1533-position model. The record is from RNAcentral.
UACGUAGGGGGCAAGCGUUGUCCGGAAUCAUUGGGCGUAAAGCGCGUGUAGGCGGCCCGGUAAGUCCGCUGUGAAAGUCCAGGGCUCAACCCUGGGAUGCCGGUGGAUACUGUCGGGCUCGAGUCCGGAAGAGGCGAGUGGAAUUCCUGGUGUAGCGGUGAAAUGCGUAGAUAUCAAGAGGAACACCUGCGGCGAAGGCGGGUUGCUGGGCUGACACUGACGCUGAGGCGCGAAAGCUAGGGGAGCGAACGGG